ACGAACGCUGGCGGCAUGCCUCACACCUGCCAGUCGCACGAGACCUUCGGGUCUAGUGGCGCACGGGUGCGUAACGCGUGGGAACCUGCCUUUAGGUUCGGAAUAACUCAGAGAAAUUUGAGCUAAUACCGGAUGAUGUCUUCGGACCAAAGAUUUAUCGCCUUUAGAUGGGCCCGCGUUGGAUUAGCUAGUUGGUGGGGUAAAGGCCUACCAAGGCGACGAUCCAUAGCUGGUCUGAGAGGAUGAUCAGCCACACUGGGACUGAGACACGGCCCAGACUCCUACGGGAGGCAGCAGUGGGGAAUAUUGGACAAUGGGCGAAAGCCUGAUCCAGCAAUGCCGCGUGAGUGAUGAAGGCCUUAGGGUUGUAAAGCUCUUUUACCCGAGAUGAUAAUGACAGUAUCGGGAGAAUAAGCUCCGGCUAACUCCGUG
Molecule: ribosomal RNA, 432 nt
Filed under: uncultured bacterium
Lineage: Bacteria
Description: partial 16S ribosomal RNA
Rfam family: Bacterial small subunit ribosomal RNA
Source: RNAcentral